AGAGAUUUAGGCUAACACAAAAGACCAAGAGCCUUCAAAGCCCUAAGUGAAAGUGAAAAUCUUUCAAUCUCUG
RNAcentral lists this transfer RNA (73 nucleotides) under Moema peruensis. RNAcentral's name for it is "Aphyolebias peruensis tRNA-Trp". It matches the Rfam family "tRNA". From Rfam's summary of the family: Transfer RNA (tRNA) molecules are approximately 80 nucleotides in length. Their secondary structure includes four short double-helical elements and three loops (D, anti-codon, and T loops). Lineage: Eukaryota; Metazoa; Chordata; Actinopteri; Cyprinodontiformes; Rivulidae. The record is from RNAcentral.